Molecule: ribosomal RNA, 1728 nt
Filed under: Campylobacter coli
Lineage: Bacteria; Pseudomonadati; Campylobacterota; Epsilonproteobacteria; Campylobacterales; Campylobacteraceae
Description: partial 23S ribosomal RNA
Rfam family: Bacterial large subunit ribosomal RNA
Source: RNAcentral
UUUUAUCAAGUGGUAGGAGAGCGUUCUAUUUGCGCCGAAGGUAUACUGGUAAGGAGUGCUGGAGCGAAUAGAAGUGAGCAUGCAGGCAUGAGUAGCGAUAAUUAAUGUGAGAAUCAUUAACGCCGUAAACCCAAGGUUUCCUACGCGAUGCUCGUCAUCGUAGGGUUAGUCGGGUCCUAAGUCGAGUCCGAAAGGGGUAGACGAUGGCAAAUUGGUUAAUAUUCCAAUACCAACAUUAGUGUGCGAUGGAAGGACGCUUAGGGCUAAGGGGGCUAGCGGAUGGAAGUGCUAGUCUAAGGUCGUAGGAGGUUAUACAGGCAAAUCCGUAUAACAAUACUCCGAGAACUGAAAGGCUUUUUGAAGUCUUCGGAUGGAUAGAAGAACCCCUGAUGCCGUCGAGCCAAGAAAAGUUUCUAAGUUUAGCUAAUGUUGCCCGUACCGUAAACCGACACAGGUGGGUGGGAUGAGUAUUCUAAGGCGCGUGGAAGAACUCUCUUUAAGGAACUCUGCAAAAUAGCACCGUAUCUUCGGUAUAAGGUGUGGUUCGCUUCGUAUUAGGAUUUACUCCGAAAGCGAAGAAACUUACAACAAAGAGUCCCUCCCGACUGUUUACCAAAAACACAGCACUCUGCUAACUCGUAAGAGGAUGUAUAGGGUGUGACGCCUGCCCGGUGCUCGAAGGUUAAUUGAUGGGGUUAGCAUUAGCGAAGCUCUUGAUCGAAGCCCGAGUAAACGGCGGCCGUAACUAUAACGGUCCUAAGGUAGCGAAAUUCCUUGUCGGUUAAAUACCGACCUGCAUGAAUGGCGUAACGAGAUGGGAGCUGUCUCAAAGAGGGAUCCAGUGAAAUUGUAGUGGAGGUGAAAAUUCCUCCUACCCGCGGCAAGACGGAAAGACCCCGUGGACCUUUACUACAGCUUGACACUGCUAUUUGGAUAAGAAUGUGCAGGAUAGGUGGGAGGCUUUGAGUAUAUGACGCCAGUUGUAUAUGAGCCAUUGUUGAGAUACCACUCUUUCUUAUUUGGGUAGCUAACCAGCUUGAGUUAUCCUCAAGUGGGACAAUGUCUGGUGGGUAGUUUGACUGGGGCGGUCGCCUCCCAAAUAAUAACGGAGGCUUACAAAGGUUGGCUCAGAACGGUUGGAAAUCGUUCGUAGAGUAUAAAGGUAUAAGCCAGCUUAACUGCAAGACAUACAAGUCAAGCAGAGACGAAAGUCGGUCUUAGUGAUCCGGUGGUUCUGUGUGGAAGGGCCAUCGCUCAAAGGAUAAAAGGUACCCCGGGGAUAACAGGCUGAUCUCCCCCAAGAGCUCACAUCGACGGGGAGGUUUGGCACCUCGAUGUCGGCUCAUCGCAUCCUGGGGCUGGAGCAGGUCCCAAGGGUAUGGCUGUUCGCCAUUUAAAGCGGUACGCGAGCUGGGUUCAGAACGUCGUGAGACAGUUCGGUCCCUAUCUGCCGUGGGCGUAAGAAGAUUGAAGAGAUUUGACCCUAGUACGAGAGGACCGGGUUGAACAAACCACUGGUGUAGCUGUUGUUCUGCCAAGAGCAUCGCAGCGUAGCUAAGUUUGGAAAGGAUAAACGCUGAAAGCAUCUAAGCGUGAAGCCAACUCUAAGAUGAAUCUUCUCUAAGCUCUCUAGAAGACUACUAGUUUGAUAGGCUGGGUGUGUAAUGGAUGAAAGUCCUUUAGCUGACCAGUACUAAUAGAGCGUUUGGCUUAUCUUUAAUAAAGCAU